RNAcentral lists this transfer RNA (75 nucleotides) under Paraclostridium sordellii. RNAcentral's name for it is "Paeniclostridium sordellii tRNA-Glu(ttc)". It matches the Rfam family "tRNA". From Rfam's summary of the family: Transfer RNA (tRNA) molecules are approximately 80 nucleotides in length. Their secondary structure includes four short double-helical elements and three loops (D, anti-codon, and T loops). Lineage: Bacteria; Bacillati; Bacillota; Clostridia; Peptostreptococcales; Peptostreptococcaceae. The record is from RNAcentral.
GAGGAUAUAGUUUAAUGGCAAAAUAGCUAACUUUCAUUUAGCAGAUAGAAGGUUCGAAACCUUUAAUCCUCACCA